UACGUAGGUGGCGAGCGUUGUCCGGAAUCAUUGGGCGUAAAGAGCGCGUAGGUGGUUUGUCAGGUCUGAUGUGAAAUCCUGGGGCUCAACUCCAGAACUGCAUCGGAAACCGGCUUACUAGAGUCUGGGAGAGGAGAGUGGAAUUCCUGGUGUAGCGGUGAAAUGCGUAGAUAUCAGGAGGAACACCGGUAGCGAAGGCGGCUCUCUGGAACAGUACUGACGCUGAGGCGCGAAAGCUAGGGGAGCGAACAGG
RNAcentral lists this ribosomal RNA (253 nucleotides) under uncultured bacterium. RNAcentral describes it as "partial 16S ribosomal RNA". It matches the Rfam family "Bacterial small subunit ribosomal RNA", at positions 524 to 776 of the family's 1533-position model. The record is from RNAcentral.